RNAcentral lists this ribosomal RNA (497 nucleotides) under uncultured bacterium. Its description in RNAcentral is "partial 16S ribosomal RNA". It matches the Rfam family "Bacterial small subunit ribosomal RNA", at positions 28 to 507 of the family's 1533-position model. The record is from RNAcentral.
GAUGAACGCUGGCGGCGUGCCUAAUACAUGCAAGUCGAGCGAACAGACGAGGAGCUUGCUCCUCUGACGUUAGCGGCGGACGGGUGAGUAACACGUGGAUAACCUACCUAUAAGACUGGGAUAACUUCGGGAAACCGGAGCUAAUACCGGAUAAUAUAUUGAACCGCAUGGUUCAAUAGUGAAAGACGGUUUUGCUGUCACUUAUAGAUGGAUCCGCGCCGCAUUAGCUAGUUGGUAAGGUAACAGCUUACCAAGGCAACGAUGCGUAGCCGACCUGAGAGGGUGAUCGGCCACAUUGGAACUGAGGCACGGUCCAGACUCCUACGGGAGGCAGCAGUAGGGAAUCUUCCGCAAUGGUCGAAAGCCUGACGGAGCAACGCCGCGUGAGUGAUGAAGGUCUUCGGAUCGUAAAACUCUGUUAUUAGGGAAGAACUAAUGUGUAAGUAACUAUGCACGUCUUGACGGUACCUAAUCAGAAAGCCACGGCUAACUACGUG